Molecule: ribosomal RNA, 1551 nt
Filed under: Klebsiella sp. P1CD1
Lineage: Bacteria; Pseudomonadati; Pseudomonadota; Gammaproteobacteria; Enterobacterales; Enterobacteriaceae
Description: bacterial SSU rRNA
Rfam family: Bacterial small subunit ribosomal RNA
Source: RNAcentral
AAAUUGAAGAGUUUGAUCAUGGCUCAGAUUGAACGCUGGCGGCAGGCCUAACACAAUGCAAGUCGAGCGGUAGCACAGAGAGCUUGCUCUCGGGUGACGAGCGGCGGACGGGUGAGUAAUGUCUGGGAAACUGCCUGAUGGAGGGGGAUAACUACUGGAAACGGUAGCUAAUACCGCAUAACGUCGCAAGACCAAAGUGGGGGACCUUCGGGCCUCAUGCCAUCAGAUGUGCCCAGAUGGGAUUAGCUGGUAGGUGGGGUAACGGCUCACCUAGGCGACGAUCCCUAGCUGGUCUGAGAGGAUGACCAGCCACACUGGAACUGAGACACGGUCCAGACUCCUACGGGAGGCAGCAGUGGGGAAUAUUGCACAAUGGGCGCAAGCCUGAUGCAGCCAUGCCGCGUGUGUGAAGAAGGCCUUCGGGUUGUAAAGCACUUUCAGCGGGGAGGAAGGCGGUGAGGUUAAUAACCUCAUCGAUUGACGUUACCCGCAGAAGAAGCACCGGCUAACUCCGUGCCAGCAGCCGCGGUAAUACGGAGGGUGCAAGCGUUAAUCGGAAUUACUGGGCGUAAAGCGCACGCAGGCGGUCUGUCAAGUCGGAUGUGAAAUCCCCGGGCUCAACCUGGGAACUGCAUUCGAAACUGGCAGGCUAGAGUCUUGUAGAGGGGGGUAGAAUUCCAGGUGUAGCGGUGAAAUGCGUAGAGAUCUGGAGGAAUACCGGUGGCGAAGGCGGCCCCCUGGACAAAGACUGACGCUCAGGUGCGAAAGCGUGGGGAGCAAACAGGAUUAGAUACCCUGGUAGUCCACGCUGUAAACGAUGUCGAUUUGGAGGUUGUGCCCUUGAGGCGUGGCUUCCGGAGCUAACGCGUUAAAUCGACCGCCUGGGGAGUACGGCCGCAAGGUUAAAACUCAAAUGAAUUGACGGGGGCCCGCACAAGCGGUGGAGCAUGUGGUUUAAUUCGAUGCAACGCGAAGAACCUUACCUGGUCUUGACAUCCACAGAACUUUCCAGAGAUGGAUUGGUGCCUUCGGGAACUGUGAGACAGGUGCUGCAUGGCUGUCGUCAGCUCGUGUUGUGAAAUGUUGGGUUAAGUCCCGCAACGAGCGCAACCCUUAUCCUUUGUUGCCAGCGGUUAGGCCGGGAACUCAAAGGAGACUGCCAGUGAUAAACUGGAGGAAGGUGGGGAUGACGUCAAGUCAUCAUGGCCCUUACGACCAGGGCUACACACGUGCUACAAUGGCAUAUACAAAGAGAAGCGACCUCGCGAGAGCAAGCGGACCUCAUAAAGUAUGUCGUAGUCCGGAUUGGAGUCUGCAACUCGACUCCAUGAAGUCGGAAUCGCUAGUAAUCGUAGAUCAGAAUGCUACGGUGAAUACGUUCCCGGGCCUUGUACACACCGCCCGUCACACCAUGGGAGUGGGUUGCAAAAGAAGUAGGUAGCUUAACCUUCGGGAGGGCGCUUACCACUUUGUGAUUCAUGACUGGGGUGAAGUCGUAACAAGGUAACCGUAGGGGAACCUGCGGUUGGAUCACCUCCUUACCUUAAAGAA